RNAcentral lists this ribosomal RNA (710 nucleotides) under uncultured bacterium. Its description in RNAcentral is "bacterial SSU rRNA". It matches the Rfam family "Bacterial small subunit ribosomal RNA", at positions 1 to 693 of the family's 1533-position model. The record is from RNAcentral.
CGGCCGCGGGAUUCGAUUAGAGUUUGAUUAUGGCUCAGAUUGAACGCUGGCGGCAUGCUUUACACAUGCAAGUCGAGCGGCAGCGCGGGGGCAACCCUGGCGGCGAGCGGCGAACGGGUGAGUAAUGCAUCGGAACGUGUCCCGUAAUGGGGGAUAACGCCGCGAAAGCGGCGCUAAUACCGCAUACGCUCUACGGAGGAAAGUGGGGGAUCUGCAAGGACCUCACGUUAGGGGAGCGGCCGAUGUCCGAUUAGCUAGUUGGUGGGGUAACGGCCUACCAAGGCGACGAUCGGUAGCUGGUCUGAGAGGAUGAUCAGCCACACUGGGACUGAGACACGGCCCAGACUCCUACGGGAGGCAGCAGUGGGGAAUUUUGGACAAUGGGGGCAACCCUGAUCCAGCCAUGCCGCGUGCGGGAAGAAGGCCUUCGGGUUGUAAACCGCUUUUAGCCGGGAAGAAAAGGCGCGAGUUAAUACCUCGUGUUUUUGACGGUACCGGCGGAAUAAGCACCGGCUAACUACGUGCCAGCAGCCGCGGUAAUACGUAGGGUGCGAGCGUUAAUCGGAAUUACUGGGCGUAAAGCGUGCGCAGGCGGUUCGUUGUGUCGGUGGUGAAAUCCCCGGGCUUAACCUNNNNNUGGCCAUGGAAACUGGCGAACUGGAGUGCGGCAGNNNGGGGUGGAAUUCCGCGUGUAGCAGUGANNUGCGUAG